Molecule: ribosomal RNA, 700 nt
Filed under: uncultured beta proteobacterium
Lineage: Bacteria; Pseudomonadati; Pseudomonadota; Betaproteobacteria
Description: bacterial SSU rRNA
Rfam family: Bacterial small subunit ribosomal RNA
Source: RNAcentral
GUCUGGCGGCGAGUGGCGAACGGGUGAGUAAUGUAUCGGAACGUGCCCAGUAGCGGGGGAUAACUACUCGAAAGAGUAGCUAAUACCGCAUACGCCCUACGGGGGAAAGGGGGGGAUCGCAAGACCUCUCACUAUUGGAGCGGCCGAUAUCGGAUUAGCUAGUUGGUGAGGUAAAGGCUCACCAAGGCGACGAUCCGUAGCUGGUUUGAGAGGACGACCAGCCACACUGGGACUGAGACACGGCCCAGACUCCUACGGGAGGCAGCAGAGGGGAAUUUUGGACAAUGGGGGCAACCCUGAUCCAGCCAUCCCGCGUGUGCGAUGAAGGCCUUCGGGUUGUAAAGCACUUUUGGCAGGAAAGAAAUCGCAUGGAUUAAUACUCUGUGUGGAUGACGGUACCUGCAGAAUAAGCACCGGCUAACUACGUGCCAGCAGCCGCGGUGAUACGUAGGGUGCAAGCGUUAAUCGGAAUUACUGGGCGUAAAGCGUGCGCAGGCGGUUCGGAAAGAAAGAUGUGAAAUCCCAGGGCUUAACCUUGGAACUGCACUUUUAACUCCCGAGCUAGAGUGCGUCAGAGGGGGGUGGAAUUCCGCGUGUAGCAGUGAAAUGCGUAGAUAUGCGGAGGAACACCGAUGGCGAAGGCAGCCCCCUGGGAUGACACUGACGCUCAUGCACGAAAGCGUGGGGAGCAAACAGGAUU